ACGGCAGCACAGAGGAGCUUGCUCCUUGNGGUGGCGAGUGGCGGACGGGUGAGGAAUACAUCGGAAUCUACUCUGUCGUGGGGGAUAACGUAGGGAAACUUACGCUAAUACCGCAUACGACCUACGGGUGAAAGCAGGGGAUCUUCGGACCUUGCGCGAUUGAAUGAGCCGAUGUCGGAUUAGCUAGUUGGCGGGGUAAAGGCCCACCAAGGCGACGAUCCGUAGCUGGUCUGAGAGGAUGAUCAGCCACACUGGAACUGAGACACGGUCCAGACUCCUACGGGAGGCAGCAGUGGGGAAUAUUGGACAAUGGGCGCAAGCCUGAUCCAGCCAUACCGCGUGGGUGAAGAAGGCCUUCGGGUUGUAAAGCCCUUUUGUUGGGAAAGAAAUCCAGCCGGCUAAUACCUGGUUGGGAUGACGGUACCCAAAGAAUAAGCACCGGCUAACUUCGUGCCAGCAGCCGCGGUAAUACGAAGGGUGCAAGCGUUACUCGGAAUUACUGGGCGUAAAGCGUGCGUAGGUGGUCGUUUAAGUCCGUUGUGAAAGCCCUGGGCUCAACCCUGGGAACUGCAGUGGAUACUGGACGACGUAGAGUGUGGUAGAGGGU
Molecule: ribosomal RNA, 607 nt
Filed under: Stenotrophomonas sp. EE10
Lineage: Bacteria; Pseudomonadati; Pseudomonadota; Gammaproteobacteria; Lysobacterales; Lysobacteraceae
Description: bacterial SSU rRNA
Rfam family: Bacterial small subunit ribosomal RNA
Source: RNAcentral